UACGGGGGGAGCAAGCGUUGUUCGGAUUUACUGGGCGUAAAGGGCGCGUAGGCGGCGCAACAAGUCACUUGUGAAAUCUCCGGGCUUAACCCGGAGCGGCCAAGUGAUACUGUCGUGCUAGAGUGCGGAAGGGGCAACUGGAAUUCUCGGUGUAGCGGUGAAAUGCGUAGAUAUCGAGAGGAACACCUGCGGCGAAGGCGGGUUGCUGGGCUGACACUGACGCUGAAGUGCGAAAGCUAGGGGAGCGAACGGG
This 253-nucleotide ribosomal RNA is filed under the name uncultured bacterium. RNAcentral's name for it is "partial 16S ribosomal RNA". It matches the Rfam family "Bacterial small subunit ribosomal RNA", at positions 524 to 776 of the family's 1533-position model. The record is from RNAcentral.